RNAcentral lists this ribosomal RNA (447 nucleotides) under Aeribacillus sp. E08D002. Its description in RNAcentral is "bacterial SSU rRNA". It matches the Rfam family "Bacterial small subunit ribosomal RNA", at positions 95 to 526 of the family's 1533-position model. Lineage: Bacteria; Bacillati; Bacillota; Bacilli; Caryophanales; Bacillaceae. The record is from RNAcentral.
GCGGCGGACGGGUGAGUAACACGUGGGCAACCUGCCCUGCAGACUGGGAUAACUUCGGGAAACCGGAGCUAAUACCGGAUAACACCGAAAACCGCAUGGUUUUCGGUUGAAAGGCGGCUUUUAUCUGUCACUGCAGGAUGGGCCCGCGGCGCAUUAGCUAGUUGGUGAGGUAACGGCUCACCAAGGCGACGAUGCGUAGCCGACCUGAGAGGGUGACCGGCCACACUGGGACUGAAACACGGCCCAGACUCCUACGGGAGGCAGCAGUAGGGAAUCUUCCGCAAUGGACGAAAGUCUGACGGAGCAACGCCGCGUGAGCGAAGAAGGUCUUCGGAUCGUAAAGCUCUGUUGUCAGGGAAGAACAAGUGCCGUUCGAACAGGGCGGUACCUUGACGGUACCUGACGAGGAAGCCACGGCUAACUACGUGCCACCAGCCGCGGUAAUAC